AGAGUUUGAUCCUGGCUCAGAACGAACGCUGGCGGCAGGCCUAACACCUGCAGUCGACGAUUCCUUCGGGAAUAGUGGCAGACGGGUGAGUAACGCGUGGGAAUAUACCUUAUGGUACGGAACAACAGUUGGAAACGGCUGCUAAUACCGUAUGUGCCCUUCGGGGGAAAGAUUUAUCGCCAUAAGAUUGGCCCGCGUUAGAUUAGCUAGUUGGUGAGGUAAAGGCUCACCAAGGCGACGAUCUAUAGCUGGUUUGAGAGGAUGAUCAGCCACACUGGGACUGAGACACGGCCCAGACUCCUACGGGAGGCAGCAGUGGGGAAUAUUGGACAAUGGGGGCAACCCUGAUCCAGCCAUGCCGCGUGUGUGAAGAAGGCCUUAGGGUUGUAAAGCACUUUCAGCGAGGAGGAUAAUGACGGGACCUAUUAAAGAAGUCCCGGCUAACUCCGUGCCAGCAGCCGCGGUAAUACGGAGGGGACUAGCGUUGUUCGGAAUUACUGGGCGUAAAGAGUACGUAGGCGGUUUAUCAAGUUGGGUGUGAAAGCCCGGGGCUCAACCCCGGAACUGCACGCAAAACUGAUAGACUAGAGAUCGGAAGAGGUAAUUGGAAUUCCCAGGGUAUAGGUGAAAUUCGUAGAUAUUGGGAAGAACACCAGUUGCGAAGGCGGCUUACUGGUCCGGAUCUGACGCUGAGAUGCGAAAGCGUGGGGAGCGAACAGGAUUAGAUACCCUGGUAGUCCACGCCGUAAACGAUGGGUGCUAGUUGUUGGGAGGUUUACCUUUCAGUGACGCAGCUAACGCAUUAAGCAUUCCGCCUGGGGAGUACGGUCGCAAGAUUAAAACUCAAAGGAAUUGACGGGGGCCCGCACAAGCGGUGGAGCAUGUGGUUUAAUUCGAAUCAACGCGAAGAACCUUACCUGCCCUUGACAUCCUCAGAAUACCAGAGAUGGUUUUCUUCAGUUCGGCUGGCUACCACACAGGUGCUGCAUGGCUGUCGUCAGCUCGUGUCGUGAGAUGUUGGGUUAAGUCCCGCAACGAGCGCAACCCUCGCCCUUAGUUGCCAUCAUUUAGUUGGGUACUCUAGGGGAACUGCCGGUGACAAGCCGGAGGAAGGUGGGGAUGACGUCAAGUCCUCAUGGCCCUUAUGGGCUGGGCUACACACGUGCUACAAUGGCAGUGACAAUGGGUCGCAACCCUGCGAGGGGUAGCUAAUCUCAAAAAGCCGUCUCAGUUCGGAUUGUUCUCUGCAACUCGAGAGCAUGAAGUUGGAAUCGCUAGUAAUCGCGUAUCAGCAUGACGCGGUGAAUACGUUCCCGGGCCUUGUACACACCGCCCGUCACACCAUGGGAGUUGGUUUUACCCGAAGGCAGUGCGCUAACCCGUAAGGGGGGCAGGCGACCACGGUAGGGUCAGCGACUGGGGUGAAGUCGUAACAAGGUAACCGUA
This 1446-nucleotide ribosomal RNA is filed under the name uncultured prokaryote. RNAcentral's name for it is "partial 16S ribosomal RNA". It matches the Rfam family "Bacterial small subunit ribosomal RNA". The record is from RNAcentral.